Mus musculus (house mouse) is the source of this 2037-nucleotide long non-coding RNA. RefSeq annotates it as RIKEN cDNA 9330198I05 gene. Lineage: Eukaryota; Metazoa; Chordata; Mammalia; Rodentia; Muridae. The record is from RefSeq and is marked validated. The transcript is spliced from 4 exons.
GCUCUCUCCCCCUCUCUCUCCCUAUGUUUCUCUCUGUCUCUCUCUCCUUCCUCUCUCUUCCCCUCCCCUUCUUCCCUUUCUUCUUCCUGUAUGCACAAUACCAUGUGAUUAGCCAGCUGUCUACUCUUGCUACCACACCAUGCCUCCCUGUCAUUCUGGACUCUAGCCCUCUGGUACUGUAAGUCCAAAUGAACUCUUCCUUAAGCUGGUUUUGUUGUUGGUGGUGGUGGUGGUGGUUUGGGUUUUUGUUGUUGUUUGUUUUUGGUUUUUGGGUUUGUUUGUUUGUUUGUUGUUUUGGUCAUGAUACUUUUUUUAAAAUCACAGCAACAAAAAAGAUAUAACUAAUACAGCAAGUUCUGUAACUAAUACAGAAGUCUUAUCAAGUGGAAAGAGAAACAGUUUCUAGAAAGCUAGGAAAAGAGCACAAAUGACACCAAAUGCUCAGUAAAGGCUUCAAAGCACUUAUAAUGAAAGGAGGACAAGGCCCCACUUCACAGCACCCAACAAAAUGGCAAAGUUGCUGAGACCAGGAACACCAGCUCCUGAGAGGUAAGAAAUAACCUUUCCCGUGCUUCUAUGUACUAAGUUUCCACUGUGCACAGCACUCCUGCAGUACCUGGUAGAGCCAUGCACACCGUAACCCUCAACUCAGUUGUGACUCAGAAGAAAGCUUGACUGUAAGCAAGACCAUGAAUGGGCGUCUUAGUGUUUUCUGUUGCUAUGACAAAAUACCUGAUAUUUUAUGCCGAAAAAUGGUUUAUUUGCUCACAGUUUUUCAGACCCUGGAGCAUGGUACUAACAUCUCUUGAUAAGGGCUUCAUGACUGCAUCACAAUGUGGACGAUGGCUUCAUGAUGCUCUAGGAACCCCGGGUCUGUGGCUACUGGAAACAAGACUCUUAUCCAGACAAGGCCCUCUGAAGGCUGUGUAGGACAGCCCCUCUAGAAAGAAGAGUGACAAGUGCCAGCCUGAGCUGUAAAAAUACUCCGUUAUUUGUGGCUGUCUUACACAAAAUUGCAAAUAAGACAAAUAUCUGUGAGCACACAUGGCCUACUGGCACUUGGCCUUGUUGCUCAAGGCUGGGACAACUUCCUUCCUGUCUGUACCUGAGAUCUCAGAAGCUGGCUGGUUCUACUACUGGAGGGAAAGAAUGCUUCCUAUGGAGGCACUUGGCCCAGUUCCACAGAGAUGAAAGUAGAUGUCUGUUUCCUGUGUUGACCGUGGUCAUCUCUACACUCCCAUACCAACACCGGAUCUGUACACAACUGUAGUGAGAAGAAAUACUUUGGGUGAUGAUGACUUUUGGAGAUACUAUAGAAUGAGCCCGUCUUCACAAGGAGGUGCCACGUGGCCAUCACUGGAGUUGCAUGUAGCCUGGAAAUUCAGCCUGAUAGCCUAACCCUUGCCCAGGUCCCAGAACAUCACACCAUGAACCCAUGGAGAUGCCUUGACACUGGAGCUGAACUUCUCUGCCUGUUCCCACUUAGCCAUGGCCUCAGAGGUUCCUGCAUGUUCAUCCUAUGACAUAAUACUGCAGCAGAGAGAGAAAUACAAGAUCAAGGGCCCACAGCCAGCCCACAAAGCCAAGAAUGGAUUCCACUCUGUCUCUGAUGCCCCAGAUGUCACUUAUUUGGCCUGGCCCUCAAACAUGCAAGAGGUUAUAUGUACUUGUUCAUGAAAAUAUGCACAUGGGUAUGUGCAUUCAUUAUCGAGCAUAAACACUUAUGUACAUGUUUCUGUAUGCAGAAUCACUCACGUUCUGUUGUGUGGAACGUGCAUCCUGGUGUGCACAUGCAUAUACACAUGCAUGUGUGCAUAUGGUCUCAAGGUUUCCUCCUUUUCUGCAUCAGAUUGUCAGGCAUCAGCACUUUGAAUUCACAAACAAUCAUUUGGCUGAUUAAAUGGUUGUUAAAUGAUUGUUUAACUGAAUUUUCAUCCGAAGGCUCAGCUGUGUAGUAUUACUUCAUGUCACCCAGAACAGAACAUCCUUCUGAGGCAAUGCAUUAAAAACCCAGGCACCAAUGUCCACUGAUUCUGU